Molecule: non-coding RNA, 46 nt
Filed under: Schistosoma mattheei
Lineage: Eukaryota; Metazoa; Platyhelminthes; Trematoda; Strigeidida; Schistosomatidae
Source: RNAcentral
GUACCACUGAGGAGUCCCACAAUGGGACGAAACGGCCGUCCAGUGC